RNAcentral lists this ribosomal RNA (424 nucleotides) under uncultured Oscillospiraceae bacterium. RNAcentral describes it as "bacterial SSU rRNA". It matches the Rfam family "Bacterial small subunit ribosomal RNA", at positions 355 to 794 of the family's 1533-position model. Lineage: Bacteria; Bacillati; Bacillota; Clostridia; Eubacteriales; Oscillospiraceae. The record is from RNAcentral.
UGGGGAAUAUUGCACAAUGGGCGAAAGCCUGAUGCAGCAACGCCGCGUGAGGGAAGACGGUUUUCGGAUUGUAAACCUCUGUUUUCGGUGACGAACAAAUGACGGUAACCGAGUAGGAAGCCACGGCUAACUACGUGCCAGCAGCCGCGGUAAUACGUAGGUGGCAAGCGUUAUCCGGAAUUACUGGGUGUAAAGGGAGCGCAGGCGGGAUAGCAAGUCAGCUGUGAAAACUAUGGGCUCAACCCAUAAACUGCAGUUGAAACUGUCGGACUGGAGUGCAGGAGAGGUAAGCGGAAUUCCUAGUGUAGCGGUGAAAUGCGUAGAUAUUAGGAGGAACACCAGUGGCGAAGGCGGCUUACUGGACUGUCACUGACACUGGGGCACGAAAGCGUGGGGAGCAAACAGGAUUAGAUACCCUGGUAGU